UCUGAUAAAGAACAUUACAAUACUGCAUAUUUUACCAGCACAGUAAAUUAUCAGGAAAGAUUAUUAGAAAUAGGUAGAGAAACAGAAUAAAAAUUUACAUUGACUGUAAAUAUGAAAUUGUAAUGAUAUAUAUAUUAUUUACUUUUCUUUAGAUGGUUGGAUAAAGUAGAUUGCAUCCAUUGAUGUUAAAGGCUCCCUUCUUCUGAAAAAGGUCUUCCACCACUGCAUGUAAUUUCAAUAAAUCAGGUACUAAUUACAAAUUCUAAGACAUGAAACGCUGAUGGCACAGUACUUGGAUGUAUUUGGUUUUACAGUACUCGCUCCGAGAACAGUAGCUGAUCGGACAGCCGAACGCUGCCAAACGAGUCGCGAUCAAUGAGCCGAUUGGAUUGCCUUCGAGCAUUUCUUCAGUUCUUAACAAGCAGCUAUUCAUCUAUUCAUCAAUAUAUAUUACAAAAUUAAGUGAUUAAUAAAUGUAAUGUUAAUAUCUAAAUAUUUAGAUAUAAAUUAAUUAAUAACGAAUAUUAAAAUUAAAAAUUAAAAAUAAACAUAAUCUAAUACUAAUUAGAAUUAAGUCAAGUGACAAUUAAGAUUUUUAGUUUUUCAAAUAAAUUAAUUUCAAAAAAUAAUUAUUUUUAACGGCUCAAAUUUCAGGUCACAAACAAGCGGUCCAAAUCAAAUUUCAUAAAUGAGAGUAUUAGUACGUCAGGAAUAUUAAAAACUUCACCGUAUUAUAUAUGGUUUUAACAAAUUGUAAUUGAAAUUUUAACUGACAAACAUUAAUCAUAAGUAGAAAAAGUCAUUGUAGAUUUCAUUUAAACUUACUACUAUGUUAACAUUCAUUUCAAAAUAUUAUUAAAAUUUUCAUAAAAUUUUAAGGAUGUAAUGAUUUGAAUUUUUCUGAAAAAUAAAUAAAAUAUAUCAAAAUUUAUUUUAUUUGACUCAAAAUAAACAAUAUUUAUGAACUGAAAAAUAUGUUUUGAUGAAGUUAUAAAAAAUUAGCGAGAUUAAACUAAAAUAAAGGGAUUGGCAAAAAAAUAAAAGAAAAUGCGACAAAAGGUAAAUAAACUUUCAAAACUAAAAUAAAAUAAUUUCCCCAAUUUUCAUUGCCCCGCCCAACCCAUCUUGAUCAUGAAAAUAAUUGUAUUAUGAAACUACAAAUCCAAUGGCUGCUAAUCUUACCCGCCCCAGGGGAUAGAAUAGGAUGUCCGGAGAAUAUAAAAACUACAAAAAAGCAAUGCAAACGAAUCGGAGUUCGCAUUCGAUACGGCUGAUUUGUAAUCUCCUUACUGGAAUGGAGCGACUCGCAUUUCAUUGAACCCCGAAGUUUCUUUUUUAGGUGCUCUCGUCUCUCAAAACUCAAUGCAAAUAUCUCUCUGUGACGACCCUGGGGAGAGCUCCUGGGAUAGAGGAAGUCCGGUGACCGGAAGAGGAGAAAGGAGGGAGGAGAAGAGGAGAAAGGGGAAAGAGUUGAGAGAAUUACGGAGGGAGAAAAUAGCUG
This 1501-nucleotide long non-coding RNA is filed under the name Linum usitatissimum (flax). RNAcentral's name for it is "long non-coding RNA (LUSI_LNC006728)". Lineage: Eukaryota; Viridiplantae; Streptophyta; Magnoliopsida; Malpighiales; Linaceae. The record is from RNAcentral.